Molecule: long non-coding RNA, 679 nt
Filed under: Danio rerio (zebrafish)
Lineage: Eukaryota; Metazoa; Chordata; Actinopteri; Cypriniformes; Danionidae
Description: si:ch211-81n22.2 (ENSDARG00000097801.2)
Source: RNAcentral
AUACACAUGGUUAUGAUUUACAACAAAAGUCGAAAGUUAAGUUUUCUUUUCAUUUUGUAUUUGUUCAUAAUAAAAGCCAAAAUAGUAACUUAUAAAGAGACAUUUUAAACGACAUACUAAACACACAUCUAACGUGAAUAACUUUAACCAGCAAACGUGAAUUAACAUGCAUAGAUUUUAUUUUUUUCCACUUUAAAACUCCAUGCGGUGACAUAAGUGGAAUAUUCCUCAACUAGAACACUGCGAAGCCUGUCAAAAACUUUAUUAUUUAAUAUUGAACAACAUGAGAACAAUACGAUCUCCGGGGCACAUCUGCAUCAUCACCGGCGGCGGAUUCCGGUGAAGAGAGCGGAGCCGCGUUCAUUCAUUCCCCGUCAGUCCGUCCGGCUGAGGCCACCGUCGGCAGCAUGAGCCAGAGGUUUACCGUGACUACCGGUGACAUCCAGGGAGAAGUCAACCAGCUGUUUGAGGGCGAUGAGGAGACACCGAGCACUGCUGCUGCUGCUGGGGGAUCCGGCAAAGGUAAGAGAUAUACCUACUGUAUACCUUAUGAUGAUGAUGAUGCUCGGACACCUGUAAAAGAUGAACUCGUCCAACUGCUGGGAAUGUGACACUGACAUAUUAAUAUUCAACACGCCACCCUCAAGUGUGAAUAAAUGACUCACAGACCAUUUUCACC